RNAcentral lists this ribosomal RNA (253 nucleotides) under uncultured bacterium. RNAcentral's name for it is "partial 16S ribosomal RNA". It matches the Rfam family "Bacterial small subunit ribosomal RNA", at positions 524 to 776 of the family's 1533-position model. The record is from RNAcentral.
UACGAAGGGGGCUAGCGUUGCUCGGAAUCACUGGGCGUAAAGCGCACGUAGGCGGAUUGCUAAGUCAGGGGUGAAAUCCUGGAGCUCAACUCCAGAACUGCCUUUGAUACUGGCGAUCUCGAGUCCGGGAGAGGUGAGUGGAACUGCGAGUGUAGAGGUGAAAUUCGUAGAUAUUCGGAAGAACACCAGUGGCGAAGGCGGCUCACUGGACUGGUAUUGACGCUGAGGUGCGAAAGCGUGGGGAGCAAACAGG